Molecule: long non-coding RNA, 1306 nt
Organism: Cephus cinctus (wheat stem sawfly)
Lineage: Eukaryota; Metazoa; Arthropoda; Insecta; Hymenoptera; Cephidae
Exons: 2
Source: RefSeq, a predicted model, not a curated record
UUGCAUUUCAUGUUGUUUAUGGUGAAGUGGGUUGCGUAGCGUCAAACAUUUUCUAUAAAUGGCGGAGCUUCGGCUACAGUUCUUUUCACCUUGGACGUUAGACAAACUUUGCGAAGCAUUGAGAAAUUAAUACUAUCCAUUGCUUGUCAGUCAUUUCUUCGUUACACAGUGAAGUAACCUAUAGUGGUAUACGAAUAAAACGCGGCUGCUGUUCGCAUUAUUGAGACUCGUAUGUUCUACGUGCGUUAAUAAAUUUGUAUUGGCGCUAGACUAGACGGGAAUAAUAAGCCAUUGCUGUGGGAUCGUUUAUCGUUAUUCACCUAGAGGAUUACAUAUGCUUUGGGAAUACAGUGCUUUAUAAAUCGUAUUUGGGAAGUAUGUCUUCGAACUUCUUCAAGGAAACUACCUAGAGAAUCACGUCCAAGAUGGUGGCAUUGACCCACUUAGAAUGCAUUGGGCAAGAAGACCUUCUUGGCAUCCCACUAACAUAAUCGCGACACGACCACGGCGACGGCGGCAACAGCAAAAACCAGGAACGCUUCCCAACUGGGUUCCGCAAUUUUUGAUUGCGUCGAGCCUCCGAGUUGCCUGUGACGCGUCGACCGUCAACGCAGUGGAAUAAAUUGGAGUGAGAAAGAUGCAAAUCGUUACCGUUCUCUCUGGACAUGAUUCAUCCUUAUCGACAUACGUCGAUAUAUACCGUGUGUAGAAUUUUACAAGAUCUUGUGAUUUUACAUUUAAAGACAAAAAAAUGCAAAUGCCAAUUUCGAAAAGUAUCCGUCUUGGAAAAUUGAUUGCAUAAUUACAAAUUUCCACCGAAUCUAUAAAACAAGCACGGAGACCGUAGAAAUCGCAUCUAACGUAUCAUGGGACAGUAGUCCUAAAGAAAAAUAAUGUAAUUGAUAAUAAUAUCACGAAUCAGUUGACUAUACACGAUUUGAAUACACGAUUGAAUUGCAUUAUCGAUCCUCGUUGAAACUCAACGAAUAUGCAGGCACGAAUAAAUUGAGGAAAAAAAAUGAACAGCUCGAAAAGCAAUACGUAAGAAUAUUCCCAUAUGUAUACAGGCGAAUAUCGGUAGGCUUGACGUCUGGUUGUGUUUAUGAAGUACAAUUGUAAGUAAUCGAAGAACGAAGAGAAAGGAGAUAUAAAGAGAUAACGAUAGUCCGUUCGAUAGCAAGAAGAGAUCAGUCGGUCGUUCUUUGUGACGGAUCAAUUUUGGCCCCAAUAUCCAUCCAUGAAUUUGUACAUACUUUUGUAUUAUAUUUAAGGAAUGCUAAUACUGAAUAAAGCAUAUAUCUGUUAA